This 253-nucleotide ribosomal RNA is filed under the name uncultured bacterium. Its description in RNAcentral is "partial 16S ribosomal RNA". It matches the Rfam family "Bacterial small subunit ribosomal RNA", at positions 524 to 776 of the family's 1533-position model. The record is from RNAcentral.
UACGUAGGGGGCUAGCGUUGUCCGGAUUUAUUGGGCGUAAAGAGCGUGUAGGCGGCCAGGUAGGUCUGCUGUGAAAACUCGAGGCUUAACCUCGAGAUGUCGGCGGAAACCAUCUGGCUAGAGUCCGGAAGAGGAGAGUGGAAUUCCUGGUGUAGCGGUGGAAUGCGCAGAUAUCAGGAGGAACACCAAUAGCGAAGGCAGCUCGCUGGGACGUUACUGACACUGAGGCGCGAAAGCGUGGGGAGCGAACAGG